This 253-nucleotide ribosomal RNA is filed under the name uncultured bacterium. RNAcentral's name for it is "partial 16S ribosomal RNA". It matches the Rfam family "Bacterial small subunit ribosomal RNA", at positions 524 to 776 of the family's 1533-position model. The record is from RNAcentral.
UACGGGGGGGGCGAGCGUUGUUCGGAAUUACUGGGCGUAAAGGGUUUGUAGGUGGCCUGCUAAGUCAGACGUGAAAUCCCUCAGCUUAACUGGGGAACUGCGUCUGAUACUGGCGGGCUUGAGGACAGGAGAGGAACGCGGAAUUCCAGGUGUAGCGGUGAAAUGCGCAGAUAUCAGGAGGAACACCGGUGGCGAAGGCGGGUCUCUGGGCAGUAACUGACGCUGAGGAGCGAAAGCGUGGGGAGCGAACAGG